GAUGAACGCUGGCGGCGUGCCUAAUACAUGCAAGUCGAGCGAACGGACGAGAAGCUUGCUUCUCUGAUGUUAGCGGCGGACGGGUGAGUAACACGUGGAUAACCUACCUAUAAGACUGGGAUAACUUCGGGAAACCGUAGCUAAUACCGGAUAAUAUUUUGAACCGCAUGGUUCAAAAGUGAAAGACGGUCUUGCUGUCACUUAUAGAUGGAUCCGCGCUGCAUUAGCUAGUUGGUAAGGUAACGGCUUACCAAGGCAACGAUGCAAAGCCGACCUGAGAGGGUGAUCGGCCACACUGGAACUGAGACACGGUCCAGACUCCUACGGGAGGCAGCAGUAGGGAAUCUUCCGCAAUGGGCGAAAGCCUGACGGAGCAACGCCGCGUGAGUGAUGAAGGUCUUCGGAUCGUAAAACUCUGUUAUUAGGGAAGAACAUAUGUGUAAGUAACUGUGCACAUCUUGACGGUACCUAAUCAGAAAGCCACGGCUAACUACGUG
This 497-nucleotide ribosomal RNA is filed under the name uncultured bacterium. RNAcentral's name for it is "partial 16S ribosomal RNA". It matches the Rfam family "Bacterial small subunit ribosomal RNA", at positions 28 to 507 of the family's 1533-position model. The record is from RNAcentral.